GAUCCCUUUGGCGGCGGCGACUCUGGACGCGCGCGGGCCCUUCUCGCGGAUCUCCCCAGCUAGCCG
Molecule: ribosomal RNA, 66 nt
Filed under: Scomber scombrus (Atlantic mackerel)
Lineage: Eukaryota; Metazoa; Chordata; Actinopteri; Scombriformes; Scombridae
Source: RNAcentral